RNAcentral lists this ribosomal RNA (579 nucleotides) under Triticum aestivum (bread wheat). Its description in RNAcentral is "partial small subunit ribosomal RNA". The record is from RNAcentral. Lineage: Eukaryota; Viridiplantae; Streptophyta; Magnoliopsida; Poales; Poaceae.
CAAGGAGCUAAGGUGUUUUCCAAGAUCGAUUUGCGAUCAGGAUACCAUCAGUUGAAGAUUCGGGAGCAAGAUAUACCGAAGACGGCUUUUACCACCAGGUAUGGGCUGUAUGAGUAUACCGUUAUGUCAUUUGGUCUGACUAACGCCCCAGCAUAUUUUAUGAACAUGAUGAACAAGGUGUUUAUGGAGUUUUUGGAUAAGUUCGUCGUGGUGUUCAUUGAUGAUAUUUUGGUUUACUCGAAGAAUGAAGAGGAACAUAAGGAACACUUGCGUAUGGUACUCGAGAAGCUCAGAGAACAUCAGCUAUACGCCAAGUUCAGCAAGUGUGAGUUUUGGUUGAAAGAAGUUGGAUUUCUCAGACAUGUUAUAUCCGGAGAAGGUAUCACAGUAGACCCCACUAAAGUUGUCACUGUGACAAACUGGGAAGCACCAGCAACAGUUGGAGAAAUCCGGAGUUUCCUUGGACUCGCAGGAUACUACCGGAGAUUUAUUGAAAAUUUCUCGAAGAUUGCGAAGCCUAUGACAGAGUUGUUGAAGAAGGAUACUAAGUUCAUUUGGACUGAGGAGUGUGAGGCUAGU